RNAcentral lists this ribosomal RNA (252 nucleotides) under uncultured bacterium. Its description in RNAcentral is "partial 16S ribosomal RNA". It matches the Rfam family "Bacterial small subunit ribosomal RNA", at positions 524 to 776 of the family's 1533-position model. The record is from RNAcentral.
UACGUAGGGUGCAAGCGUUAUCCGGAAUUAUUGGGCGUAAAGAGCUCGUAGGCGGCUUGGCAAGUCGGGUGUGAAACCUCCAGCUCAACCUGGAGACGCCACUCGAUACUGCCAUGCUAGAGUCCGGUAGGGGACCACGGAAUUCCUGGUGUAGCGGUGAAAUGCGCAGAUAUCAGGAGGAACACCGGUGGCGAAGGCGGUGGUCUGGGCCGGCACUGACGCUGAGGAGCGAAAGCGUGGGUAGCAAACAAG